Molecule: ribosomal RNA, 492 nt
Filed under: uncultured bacterium
Lineage: Bacteria
Description: partial 16S ribosomal RNA
Rfam family: Bacterial small subunit ribosomal RNA
Source: RNAcentral
AGUGAACACUGGCGGUAGGCCUAACACAUGCCAGUCGAACGGCAGCACAGUAAGAGCUUGCUCUUACGGGUGGCGAGUGGCGGACGGGUGAGGAAUACAUCGGAAUCUACUUUUUCGUGGGGGAUAACGUAGGGAAACUUACGCUAAUACCGCAUACGACCUACGGGUGAAAGCAGGGGAUCUUCGGACCUUGCGCGAUUGAAUGAGCCGAUGUCGGAUUAGCUAGUUGGCGGGGUAAAGGCCCACCAAGGCGACGAUCCGUAGCUGGUCUGAGAGGAUGAUCAGCCACACUGGAACUGAGACACGGUCCAGACUCCUACGGGAGGCAGCAGUGGGGAAUAUUGGACAAUGGGCGCAAGCCUGAUCCAGCCAUACCGCGUGGGUGAAGAAGGCCUUCGGGUUGUAAAGCCCUUUUGUUGGGAAAGAAAAGCAGCAGGUUAAUACCCCGCUGUUCUGACGGUACCCAAAGAAUAAGCACCGGCUAACUUCGUG